GACGAACGCUGGCGGCGUGCUUAACACAUGCAAGUCGAACGGAAAGGCCCUGCUUUUGUGGGGUGCUCGAGUGGCGAACGGGUGAGUAACACGUGAGUAACCUGCCCUUGACUUUGGGAUAACUUCAGGAAACUGGGGCUAAUACCGGAUAGGAGCUCCUGCUGCAUGGUGGGGGUUGGAAAGUUUCGGCGGUUGGGGAUGGACUCGCGGCUUAUCAGCUUGUUGGUGGGGUAGUGGCUUACCAAGGCUUUGACGGGUAGCCGGCCUGAGAGGGUGACCGGCCACAUUGGGACUGCGAUAGGGCCCAGACUCCUACGGGAGGCAGCAGUGGGGAAUAUUGCACAAUGGGCGGAAGCCUGAUGCAGCAACGCCGCGUGCGGGAUGACGGCCUUCGGGUUGUAAACCGCUUUCGCCUGUGACGAAGCGUGAGUGACGGUAAUGGGUAAAGAAGCACCGGCUAACUACGUG
RNAcentral lists this ribosomal RNA (468 nucleotides) under uncultured bacterium. RNAcentral describes it as "partial 16S ribosomal RNA". It matches the Rfam family "Bacterial small subunit ribosomal RNA", at positions 28 to 507 of the family's 1533-position model. The record is from RNAcentral.